This 431-nucleotide ribosomal RNA is filed under the name uncultured bacterium. Its description in RNAcentral is "bacterial SSU rRNA". It matches the Rfam family "Bacterial small subunit ribosomal RNA", at positions 346 to 793 of the family's 1533-position model. The record is from RNAcentral.
AGGCAGCAGUGGGGAAUCUUGCACAAUGGGCGAAAGCCUGAUGCAGCAACGCCGCGUGCGGGAAGAAGGCCCUAGGGUUGUAAACCGCUUUCAGUAGGGAAGAAAAUGACGGUACCUACAGAAGAAGGUGCGGCCAACUACGUGCCAGCAGCCGCGGUGACACGUAGGCACCAAGCGUUAUCCGGAUUUAUUGGGCGUAAAGAGCUCGUAGGCGGUUUGGUAAGUCGGGUGUGAAGACUCUGGGCUCAACCCAGAGAGGCCACUCGAUACUGCUAUGACUAGAGUACGGUAGGGGAGCGGGGAAUUCAUGGUGUAGCGGUGAAAUGCGCAGAUAUCAUGAGGAACACCAGCGGCGAAGGCGCCGCUCUGGGCCGUAACUGACGCUGAGGAGCGAAAGCAUGGGUAGCAAACAGGAUUAGAUACCCUGGUAG